UACGUAGGGUGCAAGCGUUGUCCGGAAUUAUUGGGCGUAAAGAGCUCGUAGGCGGUCUGUUGCGUCGGCUGUGAAAACCCGGGGCUCAACUCCGGGCCUGCAGCCGAUACGGGCAGACUAGAGUUCGGAAGGGGCUACUGGAAUUCUCGGUGUAGCGGUGAAAUGCGUAGAUAUCGAGAGGAACACCUGCGGCGAAGGCGGGUAGCUGGGCCGACACUGACGCUGAGGCGCGAAAGCCAGGGGAGCGAACGGG
This 253-nucleotide ribosomal RNA is filed under the name uncultured bacterium. RNAcentral describes it as "partial 16S ribosomal RNA". It matches the Rfam family "Bacterial small subunit ribosomal RNA", at positions 524 to 776 of the family's 1533-position model. The record is from RNAcentral.